This 231-nucleotide unclassified non-coding RNA is filed under the name Haemonchus contortus (barber pole worm). Its description in RNAcentral is "ITS2". The record is from RNAcentral. Lineage: Eukaryota; Metazoa; Nematoda; Chromadorea; Rhabditida; Trichostrongylidae.
AACCAUAUACUACAAUGUGGCUAAUUUCAACAUUGUUUGUCAAAUGGCAUUUGUCUUCUAGACAAUUCCCAUUUCAGUUCAAGAACAUAUACAUGCAACGUGAUGUUAUGAAAUUGUAACAUUCCUGAAUGAUAUGAACAUGUUGCCACUAUUUGAGUGUACUCAGCGAAUAUUGAGAUUGACUUAGAUAGUGACUUGUAUGGCGACGAUGUUCUUUUAUCAUUUGUAUAA